This 253-nucleotide ribosomal RNA is filed under the name uncultured prokaryote. RNAcentral describes it as "partial 16S ribosomal RNA". It matches the Rfam family "Bacterial small subunit ribosomal RNA", at positions 524 to 776 of the family's 1533-position model. The record is from RNAcentral.
UACAGAGGGUGCAAGCGUUGUUCGGAAUUAUUGGGCGUAAAGGGAGUGUAGGCGGUUAGUUAAGUCUUCUGUGAAAUCCCCGGGCUCAACCUGGGAACUGCAUUCAGAACUGUCGAGCUAGAGUAUGGUAGAGGGUGGUGGAAUUUCCUGUGUAGCGGUGAAAUGCGUAGAUAUAGGAAGGAACACCAGUGGCGAAGGCGACCACCUGGACUGAUACUGACACUGAGGUGCGAAAGCGUGGGGAGCAAACAGG